Molecule: non-coding RNA, 794 nt
Organism: Vicugna pacos (alpaca)
Lineage: Eukaryota; Metazoa; Chordata; Mammalia; Artiodactyla; Camelidae
Source: RefSeq, a predicted model, not a curated record
CCGCUUCCGACUCCGCCCCUAGCGGAAUCUAGUACCUGUACGAACUGACGAGAGCGAGAACACGAACCUCCCACUAAGUGUACAGUUGGUUCGACCCAAGAAGAAAGGCCCUGUGAGAAUAUAGGAACAAGGUGGCAAACCAGGAAGACAGUUCUCACCAGCAACCAACCCUGCUGGCACCUUGAUCUUGGACUUUCAACCUCUGGAAUUGUGAGAAAUAAGAAACAAAUUUCUGUUUUAUGCCAUCAAGUCUGUGGUAUCUUGUUGCGGCAGCCCAAGUAGAUUAAUAUGGGAGUCAUUGUAGAAAUGCUAAGCCCUGAGGCUGAGUGAGAUCUCCAACAGAGUGAGAACUGACAAAGAAGAGGGCAGGGCAAGGACAGAGACCCCGGAUCCAACAUUUACAGACAAGGAACCAACAAGGGAGUCUGAGAAGGAACAGCCAGUGAGGUAAGUGUUCUGGGAACCAAGUUAGGCCAACAUUUCAAUGGGGAGAGAAUGGGUGAUCUGUGUCAGAGGCUUCUGAGAGCUCAGGAAGAUGGGAACCUAGAAGUGAUUCAGCCCAGUGGAGGGCAUUGUCACUGUGACACAAAGAGUUUAGGUAGAAUGGUGGGGGCAAAAGCCUGACUAGAGUGGUAGUAAGAGAGAGUAGGAGAAGAUAAACAUACACACAUAUGUACAUGCAUAAAGAGAAAUGACAGCACUUAACAGCAGAAAGCCUGUAGCCUGUAAAAUGUAGAGAAAGAGGAAUUAGAAAUUUACCAUUUGGCAACCACCCUAGUAAUAAUUGUUUCAGA